Molecule: microRNA precursor, 74 nt
Filed under: Fulmarus glacialis (Northern fulmar)
Lineage: Eukaryota; Metazoa; Chordata; Aves; Procellariiformes; Procellariidae
Description: mir-205 microRNA precursor family
Rfam family: mir-205 microRNA precursor family
Source: Rfam by way of RNAcentral
UCCUGGCGCCCUUCAUUCCACCGGAAUCUGUCGAUAUAGAAACCAGAUUUCAGUGAAAUGAAGCCCGUCAGAGA